This 618-nucleotide ribosomal RNA is filed under the name uncultured bacterium. RNAcentral's name for it is "bacterial SSU rRNA". It matches the Rfam family "Bacterial small subunit ribosomal RNA", at positions 153 to 780 of the family's 1533-position model. The record is from RNAcentral.
GAAACUGCCGGUAAUACCGGAUGAUGUCUCCGGACCAAAGGUGUGAUUCCGCCUUGGGAGCGGUCUACGUCCUAUUAGGUUGUUGGUGGGGUAAUGGCCUACCAAGCCAAAGAUGGGUACCGGGUGUGAGAGCAUGGCCCGGCUCACUGGGACUGAGACACUGCCCAGACACCUACGGGUGGCUGCAGUCGAGAAUCUUCCGCAAUGGGCGAAAGCCUGACGGAGCGACGCCGCGUGCGGGAUGAAGGCCUUCGGGUUGUAAACCGCUGUCAGUUGGGAGGAAAUGCAUAAGGGUUCUCUCUUAUGUUUGACCGAUCUUCAGAGGAAGGACGGGCUAAGUUCGUGCCAGCAGCCGCGGUAACGCGAACCGUCCAAACGUUAUUCGGAAUAACUGGGCUUAAAGGGUUCGUAGGCGGCUAUGAAGGUGGGGUGUGAAAUCCCUCGGCUCAACCGAGGAACUGCGCUCCAAACCACAUGGCUUGAGGGAGACAGAGGUAAGCGGAACUGAUGGUGGAGCGGUGAAAUGCGUUGAUAUCAUCAGGAACACCGGUGGCGAAGGCGGCUUACUGGGNUCUCUUCUGACGCUGAGGAACGAAGCUAGGGGAGCGAACGGGAUUA